GACAAGGGAGGAGCUGAAUCUCCUCUGUCUUUGGGAAAGGGGAAACAGACAAGGAAGGGAGAGAAAGAAAGUGGUGGAGCAGGACCAUUGCAUCUUAAAGCAACUAGCCAUUGCUUUAAGCAAACAAAUCCUCUCUGUUACACAUCUGGCUAUACUCAUAUCAUCUCAAUACCUCUCUGCCUCCAGGCAUCCUUCUGCCCUGCCUGCGAAGUAAUGAUGUUCUGCUAUUGCCAUUUUACAGGAGAAGGCACAAUUAGCCGGUCUCUUGACAGGGCAAGAAACUGAAGAAAGUUGCUGAAUCACAUCACUGUGCAGAGUACAUUCCUCAAAUGGCCUUUCUCUAACGAUGGAAAAAAAAAUAAGUGAAAAAGAAAGCAGCACCAAACCUGCAUUAAAACUCAAAUGAUGAACCAACCAUAUUAUGAGGAAAAGCACUGCUCUAUUACUUUGGCUGUAGGUGUUGGAAGAUGAAAUUCUGCUCGUCUUCCAGGCAAGCAAAUCCCCAUCCUGCAAUGUGCAGACAAGCUGCUAAAAUGCUGGGACAGGUAGACUGGGGGAAACACGAAGAAAUUCCAGACUUCCUGUAUGGCACCAGGUGUGAACACAAAGAAGAGGGAUGAACAGGAGGUCGGGUCAUCACUUAAGGUUGUAAACUCCUCUUGCUAAGGAAAAGAAGGUGGCCUGCUCCCUCUAUAGGCUUCCCUGGUUGUUGCUUUCACAAACCAGCUAUCCAGGAGAUCAGAGCUGCAUGCUUUUGAAGACUGUCAAAAAUGCUGAAGACUCUGGCUCCUCAGUUGCACCAGCACUGCAAUUUCUGGCAUCGUUCUGGAAGAAGACUGUAAGACAACCCAGCAUUACCUUUCAGAGGGUUGUGCCAUCAUGCUCUACUGAAUUGUACCGCCAGGGUGUUGCAAAGAGUGCCUUGCAAUGUGGAGCUACCCAAACCUAACAAGGCUUGGGAGCGACGUAUUCAUUACUAUAUGCGUGACCUCAUCUUCAAAGGAAGAUUAGCAUUAGCCAACUUAAGAUGAUGGAAAGGGAGGAGUUGGUUUAAAAUUAAUUUC
This is a non-coding RNA of Cyanistes caeruleus (blue tit), 1064 nucleotides long. The record is from RefSeq and is a predicted model, not a curated record. NCBI's taxonomy places the organism in Eukaryota, Metazoa, Chordata, Aves, Passeriformes, Paridae.